This is a long non-coding RNA of Saccostrea cuccullata (small rock oyster), 427 nucleotides long. RefSeq lists it as uncharacterized. The transcript is spliced from 3 exons. The record is from RefSeq and is a predicted model, not a curated record. Lineage: Eukaryota; Metazoa; Mollusca; Bivalvia; Ostreida; Ostreidae.
AACAACUUACCAAGAUUCUGUUACACCGGAACAACAUGAGCAAAAAACGAAAAGGCAAAUAUUUUCUGUAUUUUUUAUUACUCAUGUUUAGUUUUAGCACCUGUAAAUGCGGAUGGACAGAAGAUGGGGGAUAUAUUGGACUCUAUCCUGGUGGAUGCACCGUAAAAAGUGACUGCCCGAUGGAAGAAAGGUGCAUGCAUUCAGUAGAAGAAACAAUUUGUCCCAAUGAUCAUCAAAAUCUAUGCAGGUGUACUUUAGGUUGUGAGAUUGAUAAUCUGAUUGUUCGUUAUGAGCAGUGGAGACCCAUUCCAGGAAAGGGAUUCUGCAAGUGUAUCAAUUCUUUUACAAAUGAAGUAAGUAUACAUCAAUUUUAGUAUAUGGAAUAAGUGGCUGAAAAAAAAUAAUUUUCAUGUUCCCCCAUGAGGAG